AACGGCGGCCGUAACUAUAACGGUCCUAAGGUAGCGAAAUUCCUUGUCAGGUAAGUUCUGACCCGCAUGAAAGGCGUAAUGAUUUGGGCACUGUCUCAACAGCCCGCCCGGCGAAAUUGUAGUACCGGUGAAGAUGCCGGUUACCCGCGACAAGACGGAAAGACCCCAUGGAGCUUUACUGUAGCCUAAUAUUGGGUUUCGAUGUUGCAUGCACAGGAUAGAUGGGACACAGGGAAACAAGUGCUUUGGCAUUUGUGGAGUGGCCGUUGGGAUACCAUCCUUGCGAUAUUGGAAUUCUAACCUGCGCCUUUGAAUCAAGGCGGGGGACAUUGUUAGGUGGGCAGUUUGACUGGGGCGGUCGCCUCCUAAAGAGUAACGGAGGCGUUCAAAGGUUCGCUCAGCUUGAACGGAAAUCAAGCAAAAGAGUGCAAACGCAGAAGCGAGCCUAACUGCGAGACUGACGGGUCGAGCAGUAACGAAAGUUGGAGUUAGUGAUCCGGUGGUAUGUGAGUGGAAAUGCCAUCGCUCAACGGAUAAAAGUUACCCUGGGGAUAACAGGCUGAUCUCCCCCAAGAGUCCACAUCGACGGGGAGGUUUGGCACCUCGAUGUCGGCUCAUCGCAUCCUGGGGCUGUAUUCGGUCCCAAGGGUUUGGCUGUUCGCCAAUUAAAGCGGUACGCGAGCUGGGUUCAGAACGUCGUGAGACAGUUCGGUCCCUAUCUGUCGUGGGCGCAGGAUAUUUGAUGGGAGCUGUUCCUAGUACGAGAGGACCGGAGCGGACGUACCUCUGGCGCACCAGUUGUUCUGCCAAGAGCAUAGCUGGGCAACUAUGUACGGAUCGGAUAAACGCUGAAAGCAUCUAAGCGUGAAGCCGACCCAAAGAUAAGAUAUCCCAUUGUUUCAAACAAGUAAGACCCCUUGAAGACUACAAGGUUGAUAGGCACGAUGUGUAAGUGGAGUGAUCCAUUCAGCAAGCGUGUACUAAUAGGUCGAGGGCUUGACCAC
This 1004-nucleotide ribosomal RNA is filed under the name human gut metagenome. Its description in RNAcentral is "bacterial LSU rRNA". It matches the Rfam family "Bacterial large subunit ribosomal RNA", at positions 1926 to 2925 of the family's 2925-position model. The record is from RNAcentral.